GCAAAGGUCGGCGCCGAUUUGUCUGAUCCGCUUGCGGGCGCCUCAAAAAUCCCGCUAAAAGGUCCAUAUGGUCUCACA
This 78-nucleotide non-coding RNA is filed under the name Advenella mimigardefordensis. The record is from RNAcentral. Lineage: Bacteria; Pseudomonadati; Pseudomonadota; Betaproteobacteria; Burkholderiales; Alcaligenaceae. RNAcentral also lists the same sequence under 1 other name.